GUCAAGCAUCUUCUGUCUAUUAAUAGAGAGGAUGGGUGUGGGCCCUCACCACUUCUGGUUGGUCACUAGUUUCUGGUAGUGCCCUCCCCAUUGGUUAUUACAGUAUAUGAAAUGUAUUUUAGUAUAUUUUUCUUUCCCUUUGUCUUGCCCAUCACUAGAUGAGCAUGGUGCAGGCUGAGUAGCUAUGCAGGGCUGUGCAGAGGAGGAGAGGCAGAAGGCAACUGGCUGCCCUACCGCUGGUAGGGACUCAAGUUAUUAGAGCCAGUGUGUGGGAGGAGGAAAUCAGGCUUAAGUGCUGGCUCUUCUGAGGCUGAUGCCAGAAGGCUAACAGAGCAGGGUGGUCAAAGGUGAAAGGAUCUACAGGAAAAAAGAACACUCUCAUUGGACUUAAUGGGAGUCUUGCUAUCCUGUGAAUGGCAAUUGAUCCAGAAGGGAUUUAGUGCAGAGAUGAGAGAAUCAAGGAAAUUAAAGAUUUUGAGGCUGUCCUCACGACUGACCUGAAAAACUGACAGCAAGAAAACUUCAAUUUUUGUUAUAAACUAUUAAAAUAUAUCCCCAUAUUAAAUGUAGGCACUUUGGACCUCUUUCUGCUACCGUUUCCAGAGAGGUGGACUUUUGCUAAGAUCAUUCAAUAUGUUCUGGGGACCUGCAGUGGGGAUGGACUUAGUUAAUG
Long non-coding RNA from Mauremys reevesii (Reeves's turtle), 673 nucleotides. RefSeq lists it as uncharacterized. Lineage: Eukaryota; Metazoa; Chordata; Testudines; Geoemydidae. The record is from RefSeq and is a predicted model, not a curated record. The transcript has 3 exons.